UUUCCCCUGGGUUGUUCGCGAUGGUUCCGAUUUCUUGAACCGAUAAGCAUCCAGACCCGGUGGCCUUUGCGAGGGAGACUGUUGUGCGCCGAACUGGUUUUUGGUGCCUGAUGUUUUCGAAAGGCUACCCUCUUAUUUUGAGCAUGGGUUCAGGAUGACGGCCAGACGACAUCUCCGGGGGAUUC
This 185-nucleotide non-coding RNA is filed under the name Betaproteobacteria bacterium. RNAcentral's name for it is "6S RNA". It matches the Rfam family "6S / SsrS RNA". From Rfam's summary of the family: E. coli 6S RNA was the first non coding RNA to be sequenced, but its function was unknown until recently. It consists of 184 nucleotides that fold into an extended hairpin structure with a large single-stranded internal bulge. The 6S RNA specifically associates with RNA polymerase holoenzyme containing the sigma70 specificity factor. The record is from RNAcentral. Lineage: Bacteria; Pseudomonadati; Pseudomonadota; Betaproteobacteria.